RNAcentral lists this long non-coding RNA (710 nucleotides) under Chinchilla lanigera (long-tailed chinchilla). RNAcentral's name for it is "lncRNA (ENSCLAG00000026608.1)". Lineage: Eukaryota; Metazoa; Chordata; Mammalia; Rodentia; Chinchillidae. The record is from RNAcentral.
GCAAAAAGUAAACAUAACAUAACAUCCUUUACCUGGUCUUAUUGUGCUUUAUUUAGCGAACAACUAAAUUUAUGCAAUUUAAUUCCCUACUUUCAUUUGUUUGGCAGGGAGCUCAGAGAACAAUUUUGUAUUAAAUUUCCAUUUACUAUAAUUUAAUACAGGGACAAUCAGCAACAAAAACAAGAAAUAUUCUACACUGGGUGCUGCAAGGCAGACAGAGACAAAUGUCUUAGUUCAGACUUUAUGCUUUUUUAAUUUUUAUUUUUAUUUGUAUAUGUUUGCCAUACAUAACGAUUGAAUUCAUUCUGGAAAUUUAACACAACUUAAUUCUCUUUAAUUUCAUCUAUUCCCCUCACUUCAGUUCACACAUUAGACAAGGUUCCAGUCAAGCAUUCUUACUACAGCAAGAUGAAGAGCCAACACAAAUGAAGAAGGUCAGGUAGAACAAUUCUACUGACAGCUCCUAAAAACACAAGAUCUGGAAAACAUUCACAUCUGGAACUCCAGAGAAUGUAUAAAGAAGAUCUACUUUUGGCUUGGUUUUCAUUCACAUUUGGGGAGGAAGACAAAGUAUUUCAGGAAAAAUGAAAGCUGCAUCUGUGAGCCUGAAAGACCCUUUCAGCAAGUGCCUGGUUGUUCCACACACUGUAGUGAGAUUCAGCCAAUUCAAUAAAGUGCUCCUGAGUAAUAGCUUCCUACCUGGAUUCCCA